RNAcentral lists this ribosomal RNA (426 nucleotides) under uncultured bacterium. RNAcentral's name for it is "bacterial SSU rRNA". It matches the Rfam family "Bacterial small subunit ribosomal RNA", at positions 356 to 774 of the family's 1533-position model. The record is from RNAcentral.
AGGGAAUAUUGGACAGUGGGGGCAACCCUGAUCCAGCCAUGCCGCGUGAGUGAAGAAGGCCCUCGGGUUGUAAAGCUCUUUUGUCCGGAAAGAAAAGCUUCGGGUUAAUACCCCGGGGUUCUGACGGUACCGGAAGAAUAAGCACCGGCUAACUUCGUGCCAGCAGCCGCGGUAAUACGAAGGGUGCAAGCGUUACUCGGAAUUACUGGGCGUAAAGCGUGCGUAGGUGGUUGUUUAAGUCUGAUGUGAAAGCCCUGGGCUCAACCUGGGAAUGGCAUUGGAAACUGGGCAGCUAGAGUGCGGUAGAGGGGAGUGGAAUUCCCGGUGUAGCAGUGAAAUGCGUAGAGAUCGGGAGGAACAUCUGUGGCGAAGGCGACUGCCUGGACCAGCACUGACACUGAGGCACGAAAGCGUGGGGAGCAAACA